UUCCUCUCUUCCUCCUCCUGGCUCCCAACUUGUUUCUUCUUUCUUAUGUGCCAGUUGCUGUGCUGAGGAUAUGAAGCUAAAUAAGCCUCUCUCCUUUUCCUCAUGAAGCUCAAAAGCUUAGAUAGGAAGCAAAUAAAUAUAAUAUAGCAUGAUAAUUGCAAGAAUAUUAACAUGUCCAAAAGUUAAAGAGAGAAAGCAUAAAGAAGAAAGUGAUGAGCUCUGAGGGGUUGAGGGCUUUUGCUCUCUCUUAAAUUGAUUGCUAUUUAGCACCCAUCAAAAGCUCUGCAGAGGGGACCAUCAUUAACGGCAUUUACGAAGACAUCCACUUAUUCCAACAGCCAUCUCAGAUCCUUUUUUGGAAGUACUAGGGUAGAGAGGGUAAAUAAUGAAUAAACAUGUGAAACAUUUCCUUUAUUUUGAUCAGCAGGAGGAAGACCAACGCUUCUUAUCAUAAACACAAGUUCCUGCUAUACACAACACAUCCUUGAAUUCUAGGGAAGCCAAGAUGUACAUGAAAUGACUGCAGGUCUUAAAGGUCUUGAAUCUAAUUGUGGCACUGGGGCAUAUGUAGAGAUAAAUAUCACGUAGCAUAUGCUAAGGUGAUUUCGAAGAUCUAUUCUAUCUUAAGACACUGUAAGUCUAAUUAUUAAAUGAGCAAUACAGACAUUUAGUCAAAGUGUGUUCUGUUUUGAGGGAGCUGCUUAAAUACUGGUAU
RNAcentral lists this long non-coding RNA (715 nucleotides) under Homo sapiens (human). RNAcentral's name for it is "non-protein coding LINC02480:7". The record is from RNAcentral. Lineage: Eukaryota; Metazoa; Chordata; Mammalia; Primates; Hominidae.